ACCGAAAUACCAAAAUCUCCUCCACAUUUCCCCUCGCUGGAAGGGCUUUUAGUUUCCUCUCCCAAGUUGCUCCAUUUCCUCACUCACACAAGCAAAACCUCAGGCGGGACUUAGAGUCAGCUCAGGAAGACCGAUAUCUCCCUACCAAUUUGCUUAAUCCCAGGUAAGUCCUCCGCCUCCUUCACAGGUGAAGCGAAGUCCUUACUCGAUGAACAUUUCUUAUUCGAUUCAACCCCUUUUGUGUAUCUGGGCCUUUUCAUUUUAAUGGGUGUCCCUCAAUUUCAUCAUAGAAAGCUUUUGGAGCUCUAUAUGCUUAGAAUUCUCAAUCUGUUAGUAGGUUUCUUGGAUUUUUUGGGAACCGCAAAGUUUCAUUGAUAAUGGGGAGUAGAAAUGAACUCUAUAUAUUUGUUUGGUCCAAGAGUGGUUCCCAAAAUCUCGUGUUUUUUCAUCAUUUCACGACAAAUAUGCGACCGUGGGUUCGAUGGCGAUAAAGUUGAUAAUGGGUUUGGAUGCAUUGAGGAACCGUUGAAAGGAAUGUGGAGAUAUUCGGACUUUGAUUCCAUUUCUUAUGAAAAACCUGAUGAAAGCCGCGCCCGGGGACAUUUCUCGGUGAGGCAGGGUUUUUUUGACAAUGUAAAGAUUGAUGCCGGGAGGGUUCUUGAAGUUCUCGAGCAAGACGGCCCGGGGUUUGAUACGAAGUUGGCUCUAGACGAGUUGUAUGUAAGGCUUUCUGGGCUUCUUGUAAGGGAGGUUCUGUUGGGAAUUUUGAGGAAUGUAAAUUAUGGCAAUAAGAUGCGGUGUGCAAAAUUAGGGUAUAAGUUUUUCGUGUGGUCUGGUCAGCAGGGGAAUUACAGGCACACAGCAAAUUGUUACCAUUUAAUAAUGAAGAUCUUUGCAGAUUGUGAGGAGUUUAAGGCAAUGUGGAGGUUACUUGAUGAGAUGAUUGAGAAUGGGUUCCCAACCACGGCACGGACAUUUAACAUAUUGAUUUGCACUUGUGGUGGGGCGGGAUUGGCUAGGAAAGUUGUGGAGAGGUUCAUAAAAUCAAAGACAUUUAAUUACAGGCCAUUCAAACAUUCAUACAAUGCGAUUUUGCAUUCCCUUCUCGCGAUAAACCAAUACAAGUUGAUUGAGUGGGUGUAUCAGCAGAUGUUAGUUGAGGGUCAUUCUCCGGAUAUUCUAACUUAUAAUGUUGUCAUGUGUGCAAAGUAUAGGUUGGGAAAGUUGGAUCAGUUUCAUAGACUGCUUGAUGAAAUGGGUAGAAGUGGAUUUUCUCCAGACUUGCAUACAUAUAACAUUCUUCUGCAUGUUCUGGGAAAAGGAGACAAACCGCUUGCAGCCCUUAAUCUUUUGAAUCACAUGAAGGAAGUAGGUUUGGAUCCGAGUGUUCUUCACUUCACCACAUUAAUAGAUGGAUUUAGCCGGGCUGGAAAUUUGGAUGCCUGCAAAUAUUUUUUUGAUGAAAUGAUAAAGACUGGGUGUAUGCCUGAUGUGGUUUGUUACACUGUAAUGAUCACAGGAUAUAUUGUGGCUGGGGAGCUUGAGAAAGCUCAGGAAAUGUUUGAUGAGAUGAUAAUCAAGGGACAGCUUCCAAAUGUAUUCACAUACAAUUCCAUGAUUCGUGGGUUUUGUAUGGCUGGGAAAUUCGAGGAGGCAUGCUCAUUGCUUAAGGAAAUGGAAUCUAGAGGUUGUAAUCCAAAUUUUCUUGUGUACAGCACCCUAGUGAGUAAUUUGAGAAAUGCUGGAAAGCUUUCUGAAGCUCAUGAAGUAAUAAGACAUAUGGUGGAUAAGGGGCAGUAUGCUCAUCUUGUCUCGAAAUUCAAGAAAUAUAGGAGAUGCUAAAGUGGCAAAAUAUGUAAUUGGAGAUUAUUCUCUUGUAACCUCGUAGGCACAUAACUAAUUCAUCCAGCUCUUGCCUGCUGCUUCAGUUAUCAUAGAAGGAAAAAGAUUAAAAUUUCUGACCAAUGGAGGUUGCAUAGAGGUAAAUUGGCAAGCAAUCAAGAAUGUAUUUGUUUCGCAGCAUGGGUUUAUGGCAUAUGGGCCAUAUGGGUGGUGCUGUUGGUUGUUGAGUGUUUAGUCUGACUUCCUCACACGGGAGUUGUGAGAUAAAAUGUCCAGGCAGCUACAUGAGCUCUUGAGUCAGAAGACAUAAUGUGGUUCUAAGGUCAGGACUAAUUCGUUUUAUGAAACAUAUUAUGAGGAUUAGUAACUAAGAAUCAGGAUUGGUUUGCAAAACAUUUGCUGAAAUUGUUCUAAAAGAGAGAAGGGAUAUUAUGCCCCAUAUCACCAUGAAUUUUUUGUACAGCCGCAGGCUUUGGAAGAUGGUUCUUGAUUAGAAUAAACUAUGUUGGUUUAAUUCUUGAAACUGCAGUUGUUAUGGCUUGAAUAAAUAGCAUUAGAUCAUUAAAAGCUCUCUUCCCUGCCCCUCUUUCAACUGCUUUAAGCCCCCUGAUGUUAGAGUUGGAAAAACUGUAAUCAUGAGAUAAGUUUUUGACAGUUGCAUUUGAUUGUGUUCAACUUUGUUAAUAAAUGUCUCCAGAAAAUUUGUGGAUUAUUGGUUGCAGGGACCGCAUAUUGACAAGCCUAGCAAGGAAAUAUAGGUAGCUAUAUUGUUUGUCAACAUGCUGAUGCAUGCAUUGCAUAAAUGCAUAAUUCUAGUCUAUUGAAAAUGGAUUUCUAGAAUUGAACAGAUUUUCAUAGCCACAAUGUGAGACUCAUUUCCAUCGAUGAUCCCACGGGAGUAUUUCUAAUUCUCAUAGUUUUUUUAUUAUUAUUAUUUUUAUAAUGUCGUUGUUUAUGUAGUGACGCUGGGU
This is a non-coding RNA of Corylus avellana, 2813 nucleotides long. NCBI's taxonomy places the organism in Eukaryota, Viridiplantae, Streptophyta, Magnoliopsida, Fagales, Betulaceae. The record is from RefSeq and is a predicted model, not a curated record.